CCUACGGGAGGCAGCAGUGGGGAAUAUUGCACAAUGGGGGAAACCCUGAUGCAGCGACGCCGCGUGAGUGAAGAAGUAUUUCGGUAUGUAAAGCUCUAUCAGCAGGGAAGAAAAUGACGGUACCUGAUUACGAAGCCCCGGCUAACUACGUGCCAGCAGCCGCGGUAAUACGUAGGGGGCAAGCGUUAUCCGGCUUUACUGGGUGUAACGGGAGCGUAGACGGUGAUGCAAGUCAGAAGUGAAAGCCCGGGGCGCAACUCCGGGACUGCUUUUGAAACUGUGUGACUGGAGUGCAGGAGAGGUAAGCGGAAUUCCUGGUGUAGCGGUGAAAUGCGUAGAUAGCAGGAGGAACACCAGUGGCGAAGGCGGCUUACUGGACUGUAACUGACGUUGAGGCUCGAAAGCGUGGGGAGCAAACAGGAUUAGAUACCCGGGUAGUC
This 440-nucleotide ribosomal RNA is filed under the name uncultured bacterium. RNAcentral describes it as "partial 16S ribosomal RNA". It matches the Rfam family "Bacterial small subunit ribosomal RNA", at positions 338 to 795 of the family's 1533-position model. The record is from RNAcentral.